This 5049-nucleotide small RNA is filed under the name Pongo abelii (Sumatran orangutan). Its description in RNAcentral is "retained intron". Lineage: Eukaryota; Metazoa; Chordata; Mammalia; Primates; Hominidae. The record is from RNAcentral.
CGCCCGCGCGCCCCAGGAGCCUACCCAGCACGCGCUCCGCGCCCACUGCUUCCCUCCCGCCGCCGCCGUCCAGCCGAGUCCCCACUCCGGAGUCGCCGCUGCCGCGGGGACAUGGUCCUCUGCGUUCAGGGGUAAGCGCGGCUCUCUGCCCCCUCCCAGCCACCAUGAGGGGCGCACGGGAGAACAGGGGCUUCGUGCUAGCUGCCGGGCAUUGGGAGGGCUUGACGGGCCAGAGGUGACUGAGCGCAGACGGACCUCAGGAGCGAGGCUCUGUGUGGGGCUGUGACACUCCCACGCCCCGCCCCCACACACUCACCUCAAUUCCCACUGUGGAUUGGGAAACCGGGGGCUGGCCGGCUAAAGGAGGAACUCACAGGGUGGGCUCAGCCUGGGUUCUCACUGGAGCAGAUGGAUGCUAACGGCAGGGCGUCCCCCAAGAUGUGGCCAACAAUCCCAGAUAUUCUUCUGGGCCCAGAGCACUCUACGUUAGCCUGCCUGCUGCCCUGCCUGCUAGUAACCUUGGACCAGCCCCUGGCCCCCUCUGUCCUGGUGUCCCCUCUCCUGCCCCAGGCUAGCAAGUAGGCUCUUCUUGGGAAGCCAGCCGGAGAUCCUUGCCUUUCCUCAGGCUGGCACCUGAUGGUCAGCAACUCUCGGGAGGCCCUGGGUUUGGCCUGGUCCUGCUUGGGGUACCCCCACAAUCGUCUCACAACCCUGUCUCAGCCCAGUCUGGGAUCCCAAUGUGAGAAGGACCUUGGCUCCUGCCUCUCAUCUUCAAAUUUCCCAGACUUGAGGUAGGGGACAGUGGAGAGGGGAUGCUGAUAAGACAGAGUCUUGACCUGAGCUGAGCAUUCCUGGCCAUCCACUCUGUCCUGAACCUCAGCAACCCCUUCAACCAAAGGGUCUGAUGCUGGCCUGGUGAUCUGACAGGAGCUCAGGAAGCUCCAAGGAGAGAGGAAGAAGGUAUAAAUGGGUGUUCUGCACUCAGGGAGGACUGGGUGGCUGUGCUUAUCACAACUGGCCUGGUGCCAAGUCAGGGAGGGUGGAAGGUGAGGCCAAGAAAGAGGACAUGGAGGUGCUGGGAAAACUACUUCUCCCUUGCUGUCUCCAGCAAAUUCCUUCCUCCUGUCUGCAUUCUGGGACUCCUGAAUACCUGCCCCUCUACUGCCUUCCACCCCAGGAGCCUCCCCCUGCAUUCUGGGGUCCCAUAGCCUCUUUCACUUUUUACCCUAGGUGAGCACCUCCUUGUAAGCUCAGGGCCACUGUUGGGUGUUGGGGAACAAAGUUUUUAACACACUGCUGUGCUCCAAAGCAGGCACACACAUGUACCUAGAACACACCAGCCACUGUCCCUACCAUGAUGAUGACACAGCCAUGGACACACCCCUGCCCAGGUACACACUCACCAGGAGCUUGUGGCGAUCAACACAGCUAUUCAUACACCCAGCUACCACAUCAGCCCCAGAGGUGCCCACACCUACAUGUGGGAUCUGAGGACCGGCUAAGCUAUCUGGACGUGGCCACCCACAGAGGUUCCAGCCUGACUGGCUAGCCACCAACCUUGCUCCUGGGAAGGUAGCUCUGGGCCCCAGCAGGCAGGUCAUCUCAAAAUUUGGCCUCCAGCUCUCCAAGAGGGAUUUCUGAGCUCCCACAGUACAGCCAGGGUAGGUGUGGAAAAGUUUUUGGCAGGCUGUGGUGUGCCAGAGUUGUGUGGCCCUUUCUCACUGUGAGUGGUCAUAGGGCCAUGAUUUGUUAGAACCUAGAGGGCCACCUAUAACCUACACAGGAGUCAGGUCUGGCUCCUGCCACCAGCUCCUGCCUACCCCUUCCUGCCUCACAAGCAAUACUGGUGCUGUUUGCCCAUGCUGUCCUCUCUACCUGGGGUCCCUUCCCCCAGCUCCUUCCUUUGGCCUGGAAGACUCAGCUCAGGAGCAAGCAGACCCUGACUCCCCCAUGACACCUGCAGUUUUAUGACUUUGCAUUAUAAUUACUCUUAGUGUCAUCUUCCCCAGCCAGUCUGGUUCUCCUUGAGGGCAAGGCCAUGGUUUCAUUAUCGCAGUGUCCUGAGGCCCAGCCAGGGACUAGACCCAGAACUAAGGCUUGGAGAUGUAUUUUGCAAGGAGUGAGGGAGGAGCAGCAGUCUUCCUGGGGAAGUAGAGUCAGUCCCUGCUGCCCUCCCAAGGAGGAAGCCCUAGUAUCACCCUGCUGGGUGGGCUUCCCCUAGGAGAAAGCUGCUACUCAGAUUUUGGUCGGCUCAGUUCCCCCAACCCCAGCCAUCCAAGAAUAUGGUGUUACUGAACCUCUCAGUGUAUGGGUUGGUGGGACCCUUUAUUGCGGAAAAGAGAAACUGAAGCCCAGUGAAGAGCAAGCUUUGUAUAAGAUCAUAGAGCCUGGUAGGGCUGGCUUGCCAGGGUGGGAUCUGGAGUGUGGGUUAGGUCCCUGCCCUUUGGUGGGAGCUCAUACUGACAGGAGGUGAGACUUGCCAGUGCCUUUAGAGGCCACUGUCCACCCCAGACCCUCCACUGGGAGAAGCAGAGGCCAGGAUAGGCUGACUUGUAUGGGUAGGGGAUUAUUUCAGUCUCUAAGUCCUGGCCAGUGUGGACCUAGGUCCCUCUGAGAGACAUUCCUAUCCAUGGGGAGGUAGCAUGUGACCUCAGGCAGCCUACCAUAAUCCUGGGGCUUCUCUGGAGGACCCCACACAGAUCUAUCGUAGGAUAAAUCUACCUGUCUAUUGUAGACCUAUCUCUCAACUAGGACCGUUCAUCAGUGGGCCAUUUAAUCAGCCCACCUCAGCCAGGAGGGCACAAACAUGAAGCUACUUUGCACUGAAUCCUUUGCACUGAAUCCAAUCCAGUGUGGUGAGAACAUUAGAAAUGCCUAUAGGGAAUGAUCUGUGUUUUUGGUUGAUAUAAAAUAGUGAUUAAUUACUGUUUAGUAAAUGCAGGGCAGUGGAAAAGAAUCUUUCAAAAGAGGAUCCCCACAUGGAAACAAUCAAGGUGGCUUUUGUGAUGACAAGUGGGGAACGAGAUACUGGACUAACUGAGCCCAUGGCUGGGUAGAGGGGAAGCUGAGGCUCAUAGUGAGAUGGGCCAGCCAGAGGUCAUAAAACUAGUCUGGGGCAUAGGGGGGUCUCUGGAGAUGGGGGAAGCAUGGGUCCUCCACUCACUGCUCAUCCACUGCCUUCUAGACCUCGUCCUUUGCUGGCUGUGGAGCGGAGUGGGCAGCGGCCCCUGUGGGCCCCGUCCCUGGAACUGCCCGAGCCAGUCAUGCAGCCCUUGCCUGCUGGGGCCUUCCUCGAGGAGGUGGCAGAGGGUACCCCAGCCCAGACAGAGAGUGAGCCAAAGGUGCUGGACCCAGAGGAGGAUCUGCUGUGCAUAGCCAAGACCUUCUCCUACCUUCGGGAAUCUGGCUGGUAUUGGGGUUCCAUUACGGCCAGCGAGGCCCGGCAACACCUGCAGAAGAUGCCAGAAGGCACAUUCUUAGUACGUGACAGCACCCACCCCAGCUACCUGUUCACGCUGUCAGUGAAAACCACUCGUGGCCCCACCAAUGUGCGCAUUGAGUAUGCCGACUCCAGCUUCCGUCUGGACUCCAACUGCUUGUCCAGGCCACGCAUCCUGGCCUUUCCGGAUGUGGUCAGCCUUGUGCAGCACUAUGUGGCCUCCUGCACUGCUGAUACCCGAAGCGACAGCCCUGAUCCUGCUCCCACUCCGGCCCUGCCUAUGCCUAAGGAGGAUGCGCCUAGUGACCCAGCACUGCCUGCUCCUCCACUAGCCACUGCUGUACACCUAAAACUGGUGCAGCCCUUUGUACGCAGAAGCAGUGCCCGCAGCCUGCAACACCUGUGCCGCCUUGUCAUCAACCGUCUGGUGGCCGACGUGGACUGCCUGCCACUGCCCCGGCGCAUGGCCGACUACCUCCGGCAGUACCCCUUCCAGCUCUGACUGUGCGGGGCAAUCUGCCCAGCCUCACCCAGUCGCACCCUGGAGGGGACAUCAGCCCCAGCUGGACUUGGGCCCCCACUGUCCCUCCUCCAGGCAUCCUGAUGCCUGCAUACCUCUGGCAGCUGGCCCAGGAAGAGCCAGCAAGAGCAAGGCAUGGGAGAGGGGAGGUGUCACACAACUUGGAGGUAAAUGCCCCCAGGCCGCAUGUGGCUUCAUUAUACUGAGCCAUGUGUCAGAGGAUGGGGAGACAGGCAGGACCUUGUCUCACCUGUGGGCUGGGCCCAGACCUCCACUCGCUUGCCUGCCCUGGCCACCUGAACUGUAUGGGCACUCUCAGCCCUGGUUUUUCAAUCCCCAGGGUCGGGUAGGACCCCUACUGGCAGCCAGCCUCUGUUUCUGGGAGGAUGACAGGCAGAGGAACUGAGAUCGACAGUGACUAGUGACCCCUUGUUGAGGGGUAAGCCAGGCUAGGGGACUGCACAAUUAUACACUAUUUAUUUAUUUAUUCUCCUUGGGGUUGGUGUCGGGGUGAGCCAACCCCACCUCUAUGCCCUGAGCCCUGGUAGUCCAGAGACCCCAACUCUGCCCUGGCUUCUCUGGUUCUUCCCUGUGGAGAGCCCAUCCUGUUGCUGGAACCAAGGCAAUCCUGGAUGUCCUGGUACUGACCCACCUGUCUGUGAAUGUGUCCACUCUCUUCUGCCCCCAGCCAUAUUUGGGGAGAAUGGACAACUACAAUAGAUAAGAAAAUGCAGCUGGAGCCUCAGUCCCCAGCAGAGCCUGUGUCUCACCCCCUCACAAGACAGAGCUGUAUCUGCAUAGAGCUGGUCUCACUGUGGCGCAGGCCCGGAGGGAGUGCCUGUGCUGUCAGAAAGAGGGGGUGCUGGUUUGAGGGCCGCCGAUGCAGUUCUGCUAGGUCUGCUUCCUGCCCAGGAAGGUGCCUGCACAUGAGAGGAAAGAAAUACACAUCUGAUAAGACUUCAUGAAAUAAUAAUUAUAACGAAGAACAGUUUGGUGGUCUUUUCUCUUCCACUGAUUUUUCUGUAAUGACAUUAUACCUUUAUAACCUCUUUAUUUUAUUACCUCUAUAAUAAAAUAAUACCUUUCAUGU